This 75-nucleotide transfer RNA is filed under the name Hemidactylus mandebensis. Its description in RNAcentral is "tRNA-Leu". It matches the Rfam family "tRNA". From Rfam's summary of the family: Transfer RNA (tRNA) molecules are approximately 80 nucleotides in length. Their secondary structure includes four short double-helical elements and three loops (D, anti-codon, and T loops). Lineage: Eukaryota; Metazoa; Chordata; Lepidosauria; Squamata; Gekkonidae. The record is from RNAcentral. RNAcentral also lists the same sequence under 1 other name.
GUUAGGGUGGCAGAGACAGGUUAUUGCACAAGGCCUAAGCCCUUGCCAUCAAAAGUUCAAAUCCUUUCCCUAACC